RNAcentral lists this ribosomal RNA (312 nucleotides) under uncultured Planctomycetota bacterium. RNAcentral's name for it is "bacterial SSU rRNA". It matches the Rfam family "Bacterial small subunit ribosomal RNA", at positions 30 to 351 of the family's 1533-position model. The record is from RNAcentral. Lineage: Bacteria; Pseudomonadati; Planctomycetota.
CCUGAACGCUGGCGGCGUGGCUAAGACAUGCAAGUCGCACGGUGUAGCAAUACACAGUGGCGAACGGGAGAGUAAUGAAUCGCUAACGUACCCCAGACUCUGGGAUAGCUACCCGAAAGGGUAGGUAAUACCAAAUGACAUAACCUUGUCGCAUGGCAAGGUUCUCAAAGGUCCGCCGGUCUGGGAGCGGGCGAUUUCGUAUCAGCUAGUUGGUGGGGUAAAGGCCUACCAAGGCGACGACGCGUAGCCGGACUUAGAGGUUGACCGGCCUCAUUGGGACUGAGACACUGCCCAGACUCCUACGGGAGGCAG